RNAcentral lists this ribosomal RNA (252 nucleotides) under uncultured bacterium. Its description in RNAcentral is "partial 16S ribosomal RNA". It matches the Rfam family "Bacterial small subunit ribosomal RNA", at positions 524 to 776 of the family's 1533-position model. The record is from RNAcentral.
UACGGAGGAUGCGAGCGUUAUCCGGAUUUAUUGGGUUUAAAGGGUGCGUAGGCUGACUGUCAAGUCAGCGGUAAAAUUGAGAGGCUCAACCUCUUCCCGCCGUUGAAACUGGUGGUCUUGAGUGGAUGAGAAGUACGCGGAAUGCGUGGUGUAGCGGUGAAAUGCAUAGAUAUCACGCAGAACUCCGAUUGCGAAGGCAGCGUACCGGCAUCCAACUGACGCUGAGGCACGAAAGCGUGGGGAUCAAACAGG